ACGUUGUUUUAUGUAUCUACAAACGCGCCAUCUACAUCCGCGAAAUAUCCCACUUCGCACAUAAAAACCUAGGGUUAUCGACUACAUAUGUGCGCGUGCUAUUUUAUGAGAAAUUUAUCAGCAAUCAAAGUUACUUUCUUUCGCAAUCUUUCCCCUUAGGGGUAAACUUUUAUCGCAGUCUGUGAUUGAAGAACGUAUACUUAGAAUUCUUUGUUGCCAGUAUCUAUAGUUCCUCGCGAGGCUAGCGAGUCGCGAAGUAGAUGGUCUGUAAUGAUCGCAGUUUGCAGAGUUCACUUCCUGUGCGAUUAUGAUUUCAGCUAUCUGUGAUGCAUGCCGCCCUAGCUAGUAAGAAUCCGCUAUCUACGCUAUAUAUACGCCACGCCGUUUUACUAUGCCUAUAGUUCAGCUAUAAACUAAAACGCUUCAUAAUCUCGCUUCCUACCGACGUUCUUCCAACUGGUCUUCAGAAAUCGAAAUUUCGAAGCAACCAAAUAAUCGUUUCAGGAAAUCACGUACGGUGAAUCAUGAAAGUGUUUAAGCGUAUAUCAUAAAAUACUUUUACGUGUAUAACACGUUUUGGAAGGCUAUAAUAGGAUAAGUUAAGAAGUGAAAAAUUCCCUAGAACCGAUCCCAUCUGGUGAUAUAUUUUUCACGUAUGUGUUUUUGCAAGAAUGCGUCGUAGUACAUGAAAUUAAAACGUGGACAAAAACGUGAUCAAUACUUUCAAUUCUUGUAUUUUCCGUAGACAGCAAACAAGUUUACGCCGAAUUAUGAUAAUGGACGUGUUCUCGAUCCACGCAUCCCGGAUUUGCAACCUUUUCAGCCGUGAUCCACGGUUAGUAAAACAAGUGGGGGAUAAGUGGAGAGGGGCGAAGAAGGCAGGACCGUAUAAUUACCAGCGUCCAAGCAAUUUCCAAUGUUUCCCCAGCCGGUUCGCUCUUUCUAUCCGCGUUUAGCUCUCCCCGCUGAGAAACAGAGAGCCCGGGGGCUGAUUCCUUGAAAUUGAUUCUCCGCUUUCUCGAACCCACCAUCUGUUGGCGGCAUCCCCAAACGAAAUAAUCGAAGAGAUUAAGGGCUUGCGAAGACAGGGGAUGAGGUCGCGGCUGCCCUCCCCCCCCCCCUAUUUCAGCCUUUUUUCUCAAUAAAAUUCUGGCACGUUUCUGCGCCGGAUAUUGUGUAUCGCGUGGGACAGCGUACGUACCAUCGCAUGCUGCGGUCGAGAACUCGAUCUUGCGUGAACGAGCAAUUCGCCAGUGAUCAUUCCCAAAAUCUGCCGCGAGAGAUCGCGGCUAACCUCUGGAUGACGUUUUCUCGAUGGAAACGUUCCAUGUUGCCCGUUCCUCCGAAUUGCAUCGGUGACCGAUCGAGAUGAAAUUUGGUGGAUUCAUACUUCUGAGGUCACUGAGAGAAAAUGGUCGGCGAAACGAAGCAGAUGCCUCCACUGUGUCCCCCGGUCGCCGUUCAUUUAUCAUUACCUUGGUGUAAAGGCAGAAAAAUGUAGAAAAGCGACGAGGUAGAUGUACAUAUAUACAUAUAUAAGCGGCGCGUGAUUCCGAUGAUUUGCCCACAUUAUUCAUUCUGGGAAUUGUACAAACGACGCUCGGACGACGCGUUGAUAAACGACGCCGAGACGCGUUCGAUUACGUCGCCAGGAACUCUGAAAAAUAUAUGCGACGUAUUGGCAAAUUGGAUCCGAAGAGAGCCGAUUUUAAAUUGAUAACGACCGAUUCCCCGAAGUGGGUACGGAGUGUCCGACUGUCCAUUCGUUUAUAUUUCUCUUUAUUAUGCGCUCACGAUCGUAUCGAUUACGCGUGGAAUAUUAAUUAUCCGAGUGUAUUUAUGACGCGGCAUAUUUGUUUUGAAUCCACUUUGUUAAAAAACAGGUCGCUUAUAUAAGUUAUAUAUUGAAACGAUACUAUAUUACAGACCUGUUACAGAAUUGAUACAAUUCAGGAAAUUUACUGUUUCGCUUGGGAAAAUUAUUCUCGGUUUCCUUGGAUUACAAGCUGAGAAUAAUAUUUUAUCUUCUUUGAACAUUAUUAUCGGACUUGACACUUGGCUAUCGUUAUUUCGUUUCACAUAUCAUCGUUAUUUUUCCUGGUAAAUUUAAUUUACAACAUAAUGUGUUCUAAGAAAUUGAUAUUUUCAAGUUGUAUCGAUUUUGAUUCCACUUGAAGUUACAUUCAUACUUCUUCAUAAAAACAGCUAUGGAUAAUAUUAGUACAAAAUGAAAUUACGUCUUAAAUGUUGAAAUAAUGAUUAAACGAGACUUUAACACAAAUCAUGCCAAUUAACGGUUGAAAAUUUAACUAACGUUUCGAGUCACACCAGCAGAUAUAGAGAACUAACUAUUCUCUUUGUUUUCAUUGGAUAUUUCAUAAACAUUGGAAGCACCGAAUUAUUUAUACCGUGUAUAAUCCACCGUGUGCAGCUGUAUACAGUCGCAUGUCCGUUUCAAUGCUCUAUAACAUAACGAUACCAAUUAUCAUCAUUAUGCUCGCGUGCAAUUAACAACGUGCGGUGAAUUAUAAACGAAACGCAAUGAAUUCGAUGCGGUUGCGUUAUCGAACACACGCCGAUUGUCCGAAUCUGCGCAAGAGAUUGAAGAAUAACGAAUUUAUCACCGGGACAAUAUCGGUCUGAAAAUAUCGUGAUUUCCAAUUGUAAACAGGACCGGUCAUAGGAUAUCACUCCUCGAUUAUCUUCUACAUCCAGACACUUCCAGUCAGAAUAUUGUUUCCAACGAAACCUGCUUACGAACUACACAAAUGACACCGCACGCAUAAAAAUAAAUCCGAAAUAUACGAUCAAAUUUUCCCACGCGAUGCUUAGUUUCCACGAAAAUUGAAUUAAAGUAUUCCUCUAGUAAGAUUACACUCGGUAAAACCUACUGUUAGCAAGAAAAAUGUCGCCAGUACUGACGAUAUUUAUAUAGAAUACUUUUAGAUUAUCUUUUGGAAGGAAGGAGAUUUAUUUCGGGAAAUUAAUUCUUACGUUAAUCAUUUAUAUCGAAUCUUCUAAUGACUAAAUUAGAAACACCAAUUUGUCCAUAAUAUCUGUCCAAAACAAUUCUACCCUUAUUCAGUAAUACCAACUAUUAGUAACAUACAAAUAUCACAAAUAGCGAUAAUAUAUCAAUUGUAACCUAUAACCUGUUUCUAGUUACCUUCUUUAACGACGAUUAUGCCUAGUAUCAUUAACUAAAAUAAAUCACAUUAGUCACAUUAAUGGUCUAUCGUACGACUAAAUCAAAAUCAUUAACUCUCCACAAUCUAGAUCAUAGCAUCUAUCCAAAGUUAGAAGGAACUGUAAUUCUUGUAAAAAUGAAAGUUCUGGUGAUUUCGCGAGCGUCUCCCCCUCUGGCGGCGUGUUUUAAAAUACUUCCCCGACGACGUGCGGCUGGUUGGCACACGUGAAUCAUUACACGGCUAAAAUACCACGUUCAAUGAACAGGCCGAGGCGCGCACGUGCGGGACAGGCACACGACACGCCUGGUCGUCUCCAUUCAAGUCGGCCGGGAGUUAAAACUGUUUUACCAGAAGUGGCGGCACGUGAUUACGUCCCGGGCUAUUCUUGGCACUGGAGAGGCUAGGCUUGGAUGUACGCGCUCUCCUUUUCCCUCUAUCCAUUCGGAGUGGAAGUACGGAAGCGCGUAGAUAACUGGAACACUUCGAGACACGAAAGAGUAGCGGUAUACGCGUCACCGGAAGAAUAGUGGAUGCCGGAACUAUACUAAAUUCAAAUAUCGAUUAAAUUUGAAAUUUAAAAGGACGUCUAUAUAUAAGAUAUAUAAAAGACAUACGUUUGCUACUAAUGAAAUGUAAGAUUAUAAUAAUACGAUUAUUUCACGGUACAACUUCGAACAAGAUAAGAUAAGGUAACUAUACAUUCGUACGUUCGCAAUAACGAUGACAAAGAGCUGACGAAAAUUUUUAACUAUAAUAGUCCUUAAUUCCUAACUAAAACAUUCUUCAAAAUCCUAAUCAAGUAAUUAUAGAAAACGUACAGAUCGAAAAUGAUCUACCAUUGUGGUACACUAUUCACUACCCGAGGGUUAAGUUAGCAAUUCAGACUUUGGAACCGAAACCGCUCAUAACGAUGAACAACUCAUUGAUAGACAGCAACCACAAACAAGUUAUCUGUAAACUUACGUAUUGAUGCGAGAGAGUAAUAGAGAGACGGAAGUACGGAAGCGUGUAACUGGAACAUAACGUUUCGAGACUUUGAGACUCUGAGAUGGAAACAGUGGUAGUAGUGGUACGCGCCAACCGGAAGAAUAACAGACGCUAAACGGAAGUAGUGGAGGGGACGAAGAGAGCAGAAGGAGGACGAGAAGGGUGAAAAGCGUAACGCGAAACGACGAAAAGAAUGGAGGUACUGGCGAACGAAGUGGGUAAAUGACUUGAGCUAAAUCAGAAAAUUUAUUGUGAAUACGCGACGAGAGGCAUGCCGCGAGUCGAAACUGUGCCACGCGGACGUUUCUUCUUCCGCUUCUCGUGCCUGGCCAAGAUUAAAAUUCUUCUCACGUUCGCGUCGUUAACGGCGAGUGUUUUUUGAUGCGCGAAAGGCCACCGGUGAACAGCUUCUUUCUUUUUCCCUCUGCCUCCUCUUCGUCUGCCAAUCCUUUCUCCACUUCGUUUUUUUCUUUUUUUUCGUACUAAGAGAACGGACUGUAAUUAUCGAUCGCUCGCGACUUGUUUGUGCUUGAGCGAGCGAGAGGAAGAUGGGAGCUUCGAACCAAUCGAAGUUUUAUGCAAUUAUGGCAGCGUGUGCAUAGACCCCGGCCAGCCGGUUCUAAGUUGUACGCUGAUAGGUAGUGAAUUCCUUGAGGAACGGAAUAUUAGAAUAUCGGAAAUUUGUAUUUCUUUGGUUAAGCUAUUUAUUCUUCUAAAUGAUGAAUUCUGAGAUCAAUGAAAUUCAUAAUAACAAAAAUGUUUUGUUGCUCAUUAUUGACUAGCUGAAGGCACAGUGUCUUUUUCCAUUUUUAUUAUAAUGUAUGUAAAGAACAUUAGAGAACCAGUGAUAAUGUUGUGUAAUAUC
This is a long non-coding RNA of Bombus terrestris (buff-tailed bumblebee), 5040 nucleotides long. RefSeq lists it as uncharacterized. The transcript is spliced from 3 exons. NCBI's taxonomy places the organism in Eukaryota, Metazoa, Arthropoda, Insecta, Hymenoptera, Apidae. The record is from RefSeq and is a predicted model, not a curated record.